GAGCUGCCUUUAAACCCCCUGCACCAGGGGUUAAGCUGCAGUGCCAGAGCAAGUGCUUGAAUAAUGGGCCACCAAGCCUCUGAGGGAGGCCCUGUUAACUGUGACUUUAUGU
This 112-nucleotide small nucleolar RNA is filed under the name Echinops telfairi (small Madagascar hedgehog). The record is from RNAcentral. Lineage: Eukaryota; Metazoa; Chordata; Mammalia; Afrosoricida; Tenrecidae.